Long non-coding RNA from Corticium candelabrum, 769 nucleotides. RefSeq lists it as uncharacterized. NCBI's taxonomy places the organism in Eukaryota, Metazoa, Porifera, Homoscleromorpha, Homosclerophorida, Plakinidae. The record is from RefSeq and is a predicted model, not a curated record. The transcript has 6 exons.
GUACAGUGCAUGUAUGAAGACGAGUUUCUCAGUUUGUGGAGAAGAUUUUAUUGACAAUAAUAAUUUAUGUCAAUUAAUGUCUUACUGGAUAUGAUUGCUAUGCUGCAGUUAGCAUCACUGGCAAAAGAUGGAAGUCUCCAUUGGGGUAUGAAUGGGCAAGAGACAAUGCAAGAAUGACCAAUUGAUUAGACAAAGUUAUGAAGAACAGACAAGAAUGAACUUGAAGGACUUUGCUUGGAGUUAUUAUGGUAAUGUUUUCUUUCAAUCUGUCUGCUGUAUUCACACAUAUAUAGCAAAGUGUUGGUGUUGUAUCCACAACAGAUGCUGAUGCCAAGUGAUCACUUCUAUCACUUUCCAGCAAAUUGAGAAUCUUGUCAAUGGCAGGUGACUUGAUUGCCUAUCUAAGGAAGGCUGGAUCAGCAGUCCUCGUGCCGAAAAAGGACAUUACAGUACUCUACCACAAUGAGUAUACUCUUGGUCUUGUAAAUCUCUAGAUUUUGCUAUUAGGCUUGUUAAUGUUAGAGUAUGGCAGGUAGUAAUCUUAUUAACAUUUAGUUUACAGCUUGUGUUUAUAAACAAGAGCGUGGGAACAGGAACAAUAAUAUGCAAUUGACACUAACAAAUACUGUCAGAUGCAUGAAAUCUAAAGCCUCAAGCCCUUCUUUACUCUAUACUUGUAUUUAGAUGCUUUAUCGUUGCUACAAGAAAGGUCUGUUCAAUUUUUGCUAUUUGCAGAAACAUAUUUCAGAGCCUCUGUUGUGAGCUUGUG